GAUGAACGCUAGCUACAGGCUUAACACAUGCAAGUCGAGGGGAAACGACAUUGAAGCUUGCUUCGAUGGUCGUCGACCGGCGCACGGGUGAGUAACGCGUAUCCAACCUGCCUCUGACCAAGGGAUAACCCGUCGAAAGUCGGCCUAAUACCUUAUGCAGUCGUCGGAAGUCAUCUGAUGACGACGAAAGAUUUCAUCGGUGAGAGAUGGGGAUGCGUCUGAUUAGCUUGUUGGCGGGGUAACGGCCCACCAAGGCAACGAUCAGUAGGGGUUCUGAGAGGAAGGUCCCCCACAUUGGAACUGAGACACGGUCCAAACUCCUACGGGAGGCAGCAGUGAGGAAGAUUGGUCAAUGGGCGAGAGCCUGAACCAGCCAAGUAGCGUGCAGGAUGACGGCCCUAUGGGUUGUAAACUGCUUUUAUGCGGGGAUAAAGUGAGGGACGUGUCCUUCAUUGCAGGUACCGCAUGAAUAAGGACCGGCUAAUUCCGUG
Molecule: ribosomal RNA, 491 nt
Filed under: uncultured bacterium
Lineage: Bacteria
Description: partial 16S ribosomal RNA
Rfam family: Bacterial small subunit ribosomal RNA
Source: RNAcentral